RNAcentral lists this ribosomal RNA (305 nucleotides) under uncultured bacterium. Its description in RNAcentral is "bacterial SSU rRNA". It matches the Rfam family "Bacterial small subunit ribosomal RNA", at positions 338 to 660 of the family's 1533-position model. The record is from RNAcentral.
CCUACGGGAGGCAGCAGUGGGGGAUAUUGCACAAUGGGGGGAACCCUGAUGCAGCGACGCCGCGUGAGCGAAGAAGUACCUCGGUAUGUAAAGCUCUAUCAGCAGGGAAGAAAAUGACGGUACCUGACUAAGAAGCCCCGGCUAAAUACGUGCCAGCAGCCGCGGUAAUACGUAUGGGGCAAGCGUUAUCCGGAUUUACUGGGUGUAAAGGGAGCGCAGGCGGCCUGCCAAGUCUGGUGUGAAAACCCGGGGCCCAACCCCGGGCCUGCAUUGGAAACUGGCGGGCUGGAGUGUCGGAGGGGCAG